AUGCUGCGGCCAGGGCCAAGCCCCUCCUCGCCGACGCAGGCAUCCGGGGCCGCGUGGACCCGGCCCGCACCCCGGGGCUCGGCCGCACACGGUCCUGCCCCAGUAUCCCGAGGUCCGCCGCUCUUCAGCGCCGCCGGGACCUGCGGACAGCCGGGCAGCGGCAGCGAGGCUCGCCGGGGCCCCUGCGGACCGCACACUCACCUCCCAGCCAGCGGCCCCGCCGCAGACGCCGUCCGCCGGACCAGGCCCGCAGGAACUACCCGGCCUGGCUGGGCGGGGCGCGGCACCAGGCGCGGGGACCGCCGAUUGGCCGCCGCGAGCCCCGCCCCGCCCCGCAGACACCGCCCACCACGUCCCUCCUCCACACAGGCCGGGACAGGGGCUGCGCGCGCACGUCGCGCUGCGGCGACCGUUCGGACAGAGUUACGUAAUCUGACGUAUGCCGCCGCCACCACCCACUGGCCGCGCUGGAUUGCGUCACCCGCCGCGAGACAUGGCCUGCGCCUGCGCAAAAAACAGCGCCGCUGGCGAGGCGGGUCACGGCGGCGGCGGGGGGGGCGGAGCCACCGCGAAUGGUCACAGGGGCGUCUCCCCAGUAGCCGGCAGCUUCGGGGCGCCGGAGCGUGCCUGAUGCGUGUGGCAAGGGGCUGGGUCCCCGGCUGGCCGGAGCACCAAGUGCCCCACCCCGCCGCUGCUAGGCCCCCGACAGGUCCACCGCGCCCCGCCCGGAACGCAGGGGAUACCGCAAUGGGUGCCCCGAGAUCUGCCUCCUUGGGCUCCCGUGACCUGCGGUUUCUCCGGGCUCCGCUUCUGUGGGUGCGGGGCCCCCGCGCCGCCGUCCGGGGACUCGGCUUUGUCUCGCCGCCCAGUCGCGUUGGUGGUGGAAAGCGGGAGGUUUCCCUCCGCUCCCUCUGGGCGCGUGUUACUCAGAGCCCCGGAAUCAAGCGCCUGUCCCGGCCUGGACAGGUGCAUGGGGGCUCUGAAGCCUGGCCGGGCUUCUGCAAGUGUGAGAUGUUUGAUCUGCUGCCCUCGAAGCCGGCCGUGCGCCGGCGUCAGGGAGAGUCAGGAUAG
Molecule: long non-coding RNA, 1071 nt
Filed under: Oryctolagus cuniculus (rabbit)
Lineage: Eukaryota; Metazoa; Chordata; Mammalia; Lagomorpha; Leporidae
Description: lncRNA (ENSOCUG00000038867.1)
Source: RNAcentral